RNAcentral lists this microRNA (22 nucleotides) under Parasteatoda tepidariorum (common house spider). Its description in RNAcentral is "pte-miR-11944-5p". Lineage: Eukaryota; Metazoa; Arthropoda; Arachnida; Araneae; Theridiidae. The record is from miRBase by way of RNAcentral.
CCUCGAACUCUACAUGGCGCCA